This 494-nucleotide ribosomal RNA is filed under the name uncultured bacterium. RNAcentral describes it as "bacterial SSU rRNA". It matches the Rfam family "Bacterial small subunit ribosomal RNA", at positions 33 to 507 of the family's 1533-position model. The record is from RNAcentral.
GGACGACGCUGGCGGCGUGGAUUAGGCAUGCAAGUCGGACGGUAGGGCUUUAUCGUAAGAUAGAGUUUGAGAGUGGCGAACGGGUGAGUAACACGUAGGAAUCUACCCUUAAGACGGGGACAACCCAGGGAAACUUGGGCUAAUACCGGAUGAGAGUGCGAGAGAUUGCAUUUAAAAGGAUGGCGAAAGUUGUCGCUUAGGGAUGAGCCUGCGGUCUAUUAGUUAGUUGGUGAGGUAAGAGCUCACCAAGGCGAUGAUAGAUAGGCGGCCUUAACGGGUGGUCGCCCACACUGGGAUUGAGAUACGGCCCAGACUCCUACGGGAGGCAGCAGUCGAGAAUAGUCUACAAUGGCCGGAAGGCUGAUAGUGCGACGCCGCGUGAACGAGGGAGCCCUUCGGGGUGUAAAGUUCUUUUAUAUGUGAGCAGUGCUUCUUAUAUUAACAGUAUGGGGAGAGAGAUAUUAGCAUAUGAAUAAGCAACGGCUAACUCCGUG